This 178-nucleotide unclassified non-coding RNA is filed under the name soil metagenome. RNAcentral's name for it is "partial internal transcribed spacer 1". The record is from RNAcentral.
UCGAGUUACCGCUCUACAACCCUUUGUGAACAUACCUAACUGUUGCUUUCGGCGGGCAGGGGGUCCCCCGGGGACGCCCUCCCGGCCCCGCCCCCCUACCAGGGGACGUGGCGCCCGCCGGAGGAUACCCAACUCUAUUUUAACGACGUUUCUUCUGAGUGGCACAAGCAAAUAAUUA